GACGAACGCUGGCGGCGUGCUUAACACAUGCAAGUCGAACGGGCCUUGUCCCCUUUUUUUUGGGGGUGGGGUUAGUGGCGAACGGGUGAGUAACACGUGAGUAACCUGCCCCUCACUUCUGGAUAACCGCUUGAAAGGGUGGCUAAUACGGGGUGUUCUGGCCUGCUCGCAUGGGUGGGUUUGGAAAGAUUCGACCGGUUUUGGUUGUUUUGGUGGGGGAUGGGCUCGCGGCCUAUCAGCUUGUUGGUGGGGUGAUGGCCUGCCAAGGCUUUGACGGGUAGCCGGCCUGAGAGGGUGGGCGGUCACACUGGGACUGAGACACGGCCCAGACUCCUACGGGAGGCAGCAGUGGGGAAUAUUGCACAAUGGGCGCAAGCCUGAUGCAGCGACGCCGCGUGAGGGAUGGAGGCCUUCGGGUUGUGAACCUCUUUCGCCAGUGAAGAAGGUCCUGCUCUUUGUGGUGGGGUUGACGAUAGCUGGGUUAAUGAAGCGCCGGCUAACUACGUG
RNAcentral lists this ribosomal RNA (507 nucleotides) under uncultured bacterium. RNAcentral's name for it is "partial 16S ribosomal RNA". It matches the Rfam family "Bacterial small subunit ribosomal RNA", at positions 28 to 507 of the family's 1533-position model. The record is from RNAcentral.